This 556-nucleotide long non-coding RNA is filed under the name Struthio camelus australis. RNAcentral's name for it is "lncRNA (ENSSCUG00000008168.1)". The record is from RNAcentral. Lineage: Eukaryota; Metazoa; Chordata; Aves; Struthioniformes; Struthionidae.
CUGACUUCUUUCAGAGUGAUUCUGAAAAUACAUCUGUUAAAGCCUGUAAUACAGUAAAACUGUGCUUUCAUACCACAACAUACAGCUACUUGGCUGGGCAUUAACAUUACCAUAGUACAUAUACGUUGCUCAGAACUGGCACUGGUAAAUUGGCAUAGUGCCUCAUUGUGACAUGGAGACCUGCAGUAUGAUGCUGUGCUGAGAGUGCUAUGGGAGAAAUAUGUACAAAGAAAAUACCAGUUGUGCAUGCAGUGCAGGAUUAAGCUUGCAUGCAGGAUGCAAGAUGAGGGUUGAGCUAUCCAGCAGCUUUGAUCAUCCCAGGACACUGCACUGGAACCAGACAACCCAAACCAAAGCAAAGACCAACGAGAAACCCUCAGCGAGCAGCAAGCCCUCCCAGUUUGUAGGGUGAUCUAUGUUCAGGAGGCUGUCUAGCAAGUAAACUUCACGCUUUGGCGACAGCAGUGCACGUCGGCACGUAAUUCCCACGCUGCCUUUGAAGGGCAACGUACCUAUGCCAUAAAUUGCAUCCCAAGACAUCCAGAGGGAGAUCUGG